Non-coding RNA from Caenorhabditis elegans, 21 nucleotides. NCBI's taxonomy places the organism in Eukaryota, Metazoa, Nematoda, Chromadorea, Rhabditida, Rhabditidae. The record is from Ensembl.
UUUGCAUACCUCUAAUAACCA